AUUGAACGCUGGCGGCAGGCCUAACACAUGCAAGUCGAGCGGAUGAAGGGAGCUUGCUCCUGGUUUCAGCGGCGGACGGGUGAGUAAUGCCUAGGAAUCUGCCCGGUAGUGGGGGAUAACGUCCGGAAACGGGCGCUAAUACCGCAUACGUCCUGAGGGAGAAAGUGGGGGAUCUUCGGACCUCACGCUAUCAGAUGAGCCUAGGUCGGAUUAGCUAGUUGGUGGGGUAAAGGCCUACCAGGGCGACGAUCCGUAACUGGUCUGAGAGGAUGAUCAGUCACACUGGAACUGAGACACGGUCCAGACUCCUACGGGAGGCAGCAGUGGGGAAUAUUGGACAAUGGGCGAAAGCCUGAUCCAGCCAUGCCGCGUGUGUGAAGAAGGUCUUCGGAUUGUAAAGCACUUUAAGUUGGGAGGAAGGGCAGUAAGUUAAUACCUUGCUGUUUUGACGUUACCAACAGAAUAAGCACCGGCUAACUUCGUG
RNAcentral lists this ribosomal RNA (484 nucleotides) under uncultured bacterium. RNAcentral's name for it is "partial 16S ribosomal RNA". It matches the Rfam family "Bacterial small subunit ribosomal RNA", at positions 30 to 507 of the family's 1533-position model. The record is from RNAcentral.